CCUACGGGUGGCAGCAGUGGGGAAUAUUGGACAAUGGGGGGAACCCUGAUCCAGCGACGCCGCGUGAGUGAAGAAGUAUUUCGGUAUGUAAAGCUCUAUCAGCAGGGGAGAAAAUGACGGUACCUGACUAAGAAGCCCCGGCUAAAUACGUGCCAGCAGCCGCGGUAAUACGUAGGGAGCAAGCGUUAUCCGGAUUUACUGGGUGUAAAGGGAGCGUAGGCGGCUCUGUAAGUCUGAUGUGAAAGUUUGGGGCUCAACCCCAAACGUGCAUUGGAAACUGGAGGGCUUGAGUGCCGGAGAGGCAGGCGGAAUUCCUAGUGUAGCGGUGAAAUGCGUAGAUAUUAGGAGGAACACCAGUGGCGAAGGCGGCUUGCUGGACGGUAACUGACGCUGAGGCUCGAAAGCGUGGGGAGCAAACAGGAUUAGAUACCCUGGUAGUC
RNAcentral lists this ribosomal RNA (440 nucleotides) under uncultured bacterium. RNAcentral describes it as "partial 16S ribosomal RNA". It matches the Rfam family "Bacterial small subunit ribosomal RNA", at positions 338 to 795 of the family's 1533-position model. The record is from RNAcentral.